Molecule: ribosomal RNA, 475 nt
Filed under: uncultured bacterium
Lineage: Bacteria
Description: partial 16S ribosomal RNA
Rfam family: Bacterial small subunit ribosomal RNA
Source: RNAcentral
GAUUAACGCUGGCGGCGUGCAUAACACAUGCAAGUCGAACGAUGAAACUUAAAUGAUUUCUUCGGAAUGAACUUAAGUGGAUUAGUGGCGGACGGGUGAGUAACGCGUGAGUAACCUGCCUUACACAAGGGGAUAGCCGUUGGAAACGACGAAUAAUACCCUAUGAUGUUUCUAUCUCGCAUGAGAUAUUAACCAAAGUGUUAGCGGUGUAAGAUGGACUUGCGUCUGAUUAGCUAGUUGGUGAGAAAAAAGCCCACCAAGGCAACGAUCAGUAGCCGGCUUGAGAGUGUACGGCCACAUUGGGACUGAGACACGGCCCAGACUCCUACGGGAGGCAGCAGUGGGGAAUUUUGCACAAUGGGGGAAACCCUGAUGCAGCGACGCCGCGUGAUUUAGAAGGCCUUCGGGUUGUAAAAAUCUUUUGUAUAGGAAGAAAAUGACAGUACUAUACGAAUAAGGUCCGGCUAAUUACGUG